Lepidothrix coronata (blue-crowned manakin) is the source of this 163-nucleotide long non-coding RNA. RefSeq lists it as uncharacterized. NCBI's taxonomy places the organism in Eukaryota, Metazoa, Chordata, Aves, Passeriformes, Pipridae. The record is from RefSeq and is a predicted model, not a curated record. The transcript is spliced from 3 exons.
AGCUGCAGUCAAGAAAUCACAGAAUAUGCCAAGUUGGAAGGAACCCACAAGGAUCAUCAAGUCGAACUCUUAGCUCUGCACAAGACCAUCCCCAACAGUCACACCAUGUGCCUGAGAGUAUCAUUCUAACCCUUAAACUCAGACAGGCUUGGUGCUAUGACCA